This 1014-nucleotide ribosomal RNA is filed under the name Kocuria flava. RNAcentral describes it as "bacterial SSU rRNA". It matches the Rfam family "Bacterial small subunit ribosomal RNA", at positions 147 to 1171 of the family's 1533-position model. The record is from RNAcentral. Lineage: Bacteria; Bacillati; Actinomycetota; Actinomycetes; Micrococcales; Micrococcaceae.
GCCUGGGAAACCGGGUCUAAUACUGGAUACGACGUCCUGCCGCAUGGUGGGGCGUGGAAAGGGUUUUACUGGUUUUGGAUGGGCUCACGGCCUAUCAGCUUGUUGGUGGGGUAAUGGCCUACCAAGGCGACGACGGGUAGCCGGCCUGAGAGGGUGACCGGCCACACUGGGACUGAGACACGGCCCAGACUCCUACGGGAGGCAGCAGUGGGGAAUAUUGCACAAUGGGCGGAAGCCUGAUGCAGCGACGCCGCGUGAGGGAUGACGGCCUUCGGGUUGUAAACCUCUUUCAGCAGGGAAGAAGCCACAAGUGACGGUACCUGCAGAAGAAGCGCCGGCUAACUACGUGCCAGCAGCCGCGGUAAUACGUAGGGCGCAAGCGUUGUCCGGAAUUAUUGGGCGUAAAGAGCUCGUAGGCGGUUUGUCGCGUCUGCUGUGAAAGCCCGGGGCUCAACCCCGGGUCUGCAGUGGGUACGGGCAGACUAGAGUGCAGUAGGGGAGACUGGAAUUCCUGGUGUAGCGGUGAAAUGCGCAGAUAUCAGGAGGAACACCGAUGGCGAAGGCAGGUCUCUGGGCUGUUACUGACGCUGAGGAGCGAAAGCAUGGGGAGCGAACAGGAUUAGAUACCCUGGUAGUCCAUGCCGUAAACGUUGGGCACUAGGUGUGGGGGACAUUCCACGUUCUCCGCGCCGUAGCUAACGCAUUAAGUGCCCCGCCUGGGGAGUACGGCCGCAAGGCUAAAACUCAAAGGAAUUGACGGGGGCCCGCACAAGCGGCGGAGCAUGCGGAUUAAUUCGAUGCAACGCGAAGAACCUUACCAAGGCUUGACAUCCACCGGACCGCACUGGAGACAGUGCUUCCCUUCGGGGCUGGUGGACAGGUGGUGCAUGGUUGUCGUCAGCUCGUGUCGUGAGAUGUUGGGUUAAGUCCCGCAACGAGCGCAACCCUCGUUCUAUGUUGCCAGCACGUGAUGGUGGGGACUCAUAGGAGACUGCCGGGGUCAACUCGGAGGAA